Molecule: ribosomal RNA, 508 nt
Filed under: Paenibacillaceae bacterium BF.108
Lineage: Bacteria; Bacillati; Bacillota; Bacilli; Caryophanales; Paenibacillaceae
Description: bacterial SSU rRNA
Rfam family: Bacterial small subunit ribosomal RNA
Source: RNAcentral
UGAGCUUUGAAUCCUGGCUCAGGACGAACGCUGGCGGCAUGCCUAAUACAUGCAAGUCGAGCGGAGUAAGAAUGGAAGCUUGCUUCCAUUCUUACUUAGCGGCGGACGGGUGAGUAACACGUAGGCAACCUGCCCUCAAGACUGGGAUAACUACCGGAAACGGUAGCUAAUACCGGAUAAUUUCUUUCCUCUCCUGAAGAGAGAAUGAAAGGCGGAGCAAUCUGCCACUUGGGGAUGGGCCUGCGGCGCAUUAGCUAGUUGGUGGGGUAACGGCUCACCAAGGCGACGAUGCGUAGCCGACCUGAGAGGGUGAACGGCCACACUGGGACUGAGACACGGCCCAGACUCCUACGGGAGGCAGCAGUAGGGAAUCUUCCGCAAUGGGCGAAAGCCUGACGGAGCAAUGCCGCGUGAGUGAUGAAGGUUUUCGGAUCGUAAAGCUCUGUUGCCAGGGAAGAACGUCCGGUAGAGUAACUGCUACCGGAGUGACCGGUACCUGAGAAGAAAG